Molecule: ribosomal RNA, 427 nt
Filed under: uncultured bacterium
Lineage: Bacteria
Description: bacterial SSU rRNA
Rfam family: Bacterial small subunit ribosomal RNA
Source: RNAcentral
CCUGAGAGGGUGACCGGCCACAUUGGGACUGAGACACGGCCCAAACUCCUACGGGAGGCAGCAGUGGGGAAUAUUGCACAAUGGGGGAAACCCUGAUGCAGCGACGCCGCGUGAGCGAAGAAGUAUUUCGGUAUGUAAAGCUCUAUCAGCAGGGAAGAAAAAAAUGACGGUACCUGACUAAGAAGCCCCGGCUAACUACGUGCCAGCAGCCGCGGUAAUACGUAGGGGGCAAGCGUUAUCCGGAUUUACUGGGUGUAAAGGGAGCGCAGGCGGUGCGGCAAGUCUGAUGUGAAAGCCCGGGGCUCAACCCCGGGACUGCAUUGGAAACUGUCGUACUUGAGUAUCGGAGAGGUAAGUGGAAUUCCUAGUGUAGCGGUGAAAUGCGUAGAUAUUAGGAGGAACACCAGUGGCGAAGGCGGCUUACUGG